GUAGCGGUGAAAUGCGUAGAGAUCUGGAGGAAUACCGAUGGCGAAGGCAGCCUUCUGGCCUAACACUGACGCUGAGGUGCGAAAGCAUGGGGAGCAAACAGGAUUAGAUACCCUGGUAGUCCAUGCUGUAAACGAUGUCAACUAGCCGUUGGGGACCUUGAGUCUUUAGUGGCGCAGCUAACGCGAUAAGUUGACCGCCUGGGGAGUACGGUCGCAAGACUAAAACUCAAAUGAAUUGACGGGGGCCCGCACAAGCGGUGGAGCAUGUGGUUUAAUUCGAUGCAACGCGAAGAACCUUACCUGGCCUUGACAUGUCUGGAAUCCUGCAGAGAUGCGGGAGUGCCUUCGGGAAUCAGAACACAGGUGCUGCAUGGCUGUCGUCAGCUCGUGUCGUGAGAUGUUGGGUUAAGUCCCGCAACGAGCGCAACCCUUUUCUUUAUUUGCCAGCACGUAAUGGUGGGAACUCUAAAGAUACUGCCGGUGACAAACCGGAGGAAGGCGG
This 502-nucleotide ribosomal RNA is filed under the name uncultured bacterium. Its description in RNAcentral is "bacterial SSU rRNA". It matches the Rfam family "Bacterial small subunit ribosomal RNA", at positions 675 to 1176 of the family's 1533-position model. The record is from RNAcentral.